GACGAACGCUGGCGGCGUGCUUAACACAUGCCAGUCAUACGGUAAGGCCCUUUCGGGGGUACACGAGUGGCGAACGGGUGAGUAACACGUGAGUAACCUGCCCACAACUUUGGGAUAACGCUAGGAAACUGGUGCUAAUACUGGAUAUGUGCUCCUGCUGCAUGGUGGGGGUUGGAAAGCUCCGGCGGUUGUGGAUGGACUCGCGGCCUAUCAGCUUGUUGGUGGGGUAGUGGCCUACCAAGGCGGCGACGGGUAGCCGGCCUGAGAGGGUGACCGGCCACAUUGGGACUGAGAAACGGCCCAGACUCCUACGGGAGGCAGCAGUGGGGAAUAUUGCACAAUGGGCGCAAGCCUGAUGCAGCAACGCCGCGUGCGGGAUGACGGCCUUCGGGUUGUAAACCGCUUUCAGCAGGGACGAAGCUUUUUGUGACGGUACCUGCAGAAGAAGCACCGGCUAACUACGUG
This 465-nucleotide ribosomal RNA is filed under the name uncultured bacterium. Its description in RNAcentral is "partial 16S ribosomal RNA". It matches the Rfam family "Bacterial small subunit ribosomal RNA", at positions 28 to 507 of the family's 1533-position model. The record is from RNAcentral.